RNAcentral lists this ribosomal RNA (470 nucleotides) under uncultured bacterium. RNAcentral's name for it is "partial 16S ribosomal RNA". It matches the Rfam family "Bacterial small subunit ribosomal RNA", at positions 28 to 507 of the family's 1533-position model. The record is from RNAcentral.
GACGAACGCUGGCGGCGUGCUUAACACAUGCAAGUCGAACGGUGAACGAGGGAGCUUGCUCCCUCCGCAUCAGUGGCGAACGGGUGAGUAACACGUGAGCAAUCUGCCUCUAACUCUGGGAUAACCGUUGGAAACGACGUCUAAUACCGGAUACUACGCUGGAGCGCAUCCUCUCCUCGUGGAAAGCACUUCUGUUCGGGAUUAGCUCGCGGCCUAUCAGCUUGUUGGUGAGGUAACGGCUCACCAAGUCGCCGAGGGGUAGCCGGCCUGAGAGGGUGAACGGCCACACUGGGACUGAGAGACGGACCAGACUCCUACGGGAGGCAGCAGUGGGGAAUAUGGCACAAUGGGCGCAAGCCUGAUGCAGCAACGCCGCGUGAGGGACGACGGCCUUCGGGUUGUAAACCUCUUUGAGCAGGGAAGAAGCGAAAGUGACGGUACCUGAAGAAAAAGCACAGGCUAACUACGUG